RNAcentral lists this antisense RNA (126 nucleotides) under Shewanella frigidimarina NCIMB 400. RNAcentral describes it as "Bacterial antisense RNA HPnc0260". It matches the Rfam family "Bacterial antisense RNA HPnc0260". Lineage: Bacteria; Pseudomonadati; Pseudomonadota; Gammaproteobacteria; Alteromonadales; Shewanellaceae. The record is from Rfam by way of RNAcentral.
AUUUUUUAAUUAUUUAGAAGAUAUGAAAAUUUGAUUUAAUUCGAAGGAUUUAUUUUGAGCAGGUAAGUGAUUUUGUAAUUUUUGAAAUGGUACACCCGAGUGGACUCGAACCACCGACCCCUACCA